AGAAUCAACGCUGGCGGCGUGCCUCAGACAUGCAAGUCGAACGAUUAAAGCUCCCUUCGGGGAGUGCAUAAAGUGGCGCACGGGUGAGUAACACGUAAGUAAUCUACCCUCGGGUGGGGAAUAACGUUCGGAAACGGACGCUAAUACCGCAUAAUGCAGCGGCACCGCAAGGUGACAGUUGUUAAAGAUUUAUUGCCUGGGGAGGAGCUUGCGGCAGAUUAGCUUGUUGGUAAGGUAACGGCUUACCAAGGCUACGAUCUGUAUCCGGUCUAAGAGGACGGUCGGACACACUGACACUGAAUAACGGGUCAGACUCCUACGGGAGGCAGCAGUCGGAAUUUGGGCAAUGGGGGAAACCUGACCAGCAACGCCGCGUGAAGGAUGAAGUAUUCGGUAUGUAAACUUCGAAAGAAUAGGAAGAAUUAAUGACGGUACUAUUUAUAAGGUCCGGCUAACUACGUGCCAGCAGCCGC
RNAcentral lists this ribosomal RNA (473 nucleotides) under uncultured soil bacterium. RNAcentral's name for it is "bacterial SSU rRNA". It matches the Rfam family "Bacterial small subunit ribosomal RNA", at positions 26 to 518 of the family's 1533-position model. The record is from RNAcentral.